UCUUGCAUUUCCUGCCGCAUACUCCGCAUACAUAGGGUUCAGUUGAUGAGACGAUUCCCUUCCGCUCCAGGAUGUCCUGCUGCCUCCUCUCCCGCCGGUCCUCCACCACCCACUGUGGGAGGUGGACGAAGGCGUGACGGUUGGCGUAAGCAGACAUCUCGAUUACCUCUCCGAAAUUCUCCGCCAUUUCCUUCAGCGCCAAAGCCGCGUUAUAAGGCGGCCCACGCGGGGGCUUGUUGUCGAGAUCCCACAGAACCACCACUUUGUUCUGCCUGGCGGGGUACGUUCCUUUCUUUUUUUUUUCCAUUUUUUUUUUCUGUGUUCCUCUCCCGCCGGUCCUCCACCACCCACUGUGGGAGGUGGACGAAGGCGUGACGGUUGGCGUAAGCAGACAUCUCGAUUACCUCUCCGAAAUUCUCCGCCAUUUCCUUCAGCGCCAAAGCCGCGUUAUAAGGCGGCCCACGCGGGGGCUUGUUGUCG
This 480-nucleotide long non-coding RNA is filed under the name Linum usitatissimum (flax). RNAcentral's name for it is "long non-coding RNA (LUSI_LNC006375)". Lineage: Eukaryota; Viridiplantae; Streptophyta; Magnoliopsida; Malpighiales; Linaceae. The record is from RNAcentral.